Molecule: long non-coding RNA, 974 nt
Organism: Xenopus laevis (African clawed frog)
Lineage: Eukaryota; Metazoa; Chordata; Amphibia; Anura; Pipidae
Exons: 3
Source: RefSeq, a predicted model, not a curated record
CCAAGGGGUGUUUUAAGGGAGUGAGCAGCAGAUGUAUGUGGAUCGCUAGGAGCUACAUGAGGGAGCUGGCUGGGUUUUGUGAAAUGGCUGACUGACAGAGCCAAGCCUGUUUAGUCUUUUAGGGGACUGAACACUAAAAACUGCUGAAUGUUCCAGCUCCAGUUGGAUUUAUAAAGAAUCAGAGCCAUCUUUACAGAAAUCAGGAGGAAUUAUUAUUGGUGGAUACUUUUCCAUUCAAGCUAAGCUGAUGGCUAGGGAAAGCUAAGGGAAAUUUGUAUCAGCUCUACUGGGACCAAAGUGGGACACUGGAAUAUUGCUGAUGUGAGAUGGCAUGCCUUCAUGGACAGCAUGUACCUUUAAGAGCUGAACUUCCAAUUUAAAACUUAUUUCUGUGCUUUCUCAAGCUAAAACAUUAGCUAUUCAGAUAGAUAAAACUUACUUAUAUACAUUGUAAACUAUGUACAACAGAAACCUUUGAGGGCAAUAACCCUCCUCUCUUCUCUCUUCAUAUUACCUUUCUUCCCUAUAGUUCACCACUGUUUAUUACUAGUUAGGGCCUUUCUGAGAUAAGUAUAGCAGAUACUGUACCCUAAAGUAAAAAGUAAUAUAAUUAAAUACAGUAAUUUUAGAAAUAAGAAGGAAUGAUAUAUGCUCUUUUACUGUGAAGCAUGAUUCACUAAGGCCAGUCUAUGGGUAAAAAACAAUUAAGAGACAAUGUGAUCCCUAACAGUCUCAUUUCAAUUAUAUAACUUACCGCAGGUGAGACCAGUGUACGUUGUGAUCAGGUGCAUGUAGACUUGCAUAAUUGGUAUGAGCUGGAUAUCCAAACGAAGACCAAAAUAUGUAUCCACAAUGAUGUAGAAUGACGUAGGUUGAAAAACAGUCACAUUCUCUGUUUACGGGGAAGAUAAUUAUAAAUAAGUAUACAGCAUUACAAUUGAUAACUAUUUCACAUAUAGAUAUACAGUCAUAUG